RNAcentral lists this ribosomal RNA (429 nucleotides) under Chloroflexota bacterium. RNAcentral describes it as "Chloroflexi bacterium partial 16S ribosomal RNA". It matches the Rfam family "Bacterial small subunit ribosomal RNA", at positions 355 to 776 of the family's 1533-position model. The record is from RNAcentral. Lineage: Bacteria; Bacillati; Chloroflexota.
UGGGGAAUAUUGCACAAUGGGCGCAAGCCUGAUGCAGCCAUGCCGCGUGUAUGAAGAAGGCCUUCGGGUUGUAAAGUACUUUCAGCGGGGAGGAAGGGAGUAAAGUUAAUACCUUUGCUCAUUGACGUUACCCGCAGAAGAAGCACCGGCUAACUCCGUGCCAGCAGCCGCGGUAAUACGGAGGGUGCAAGCGUUAAUCGGAAUUACUGGGCGUAAAGCGCACGCCGGCGGUUUGUUAAGUCAGAGGUGAAAUCCCCGGGCUCAAACUGGGAACUGCAUCUGAUACUGGCAAGCUUGAGUCUCGUAGAGGGGGGUAGAAUUCCAGGUGUAGCGGUGAAAUGCGUAGAGAUCUGGAGGAAUACCGGUGGCGAAGGCGGCCCCCUGGACGAAGACUGACGCUCAGGUGCGAAAGCGUGGGGAGCAAACAGG